GAUGAACGCUGGCGGCGUGCCUAAUACAUGCAAGUCGAGCGAACGGACGAGAAGCUUGCUUCUCUGAUGUUAGCGGCGGACGGGUGAGUAACACGUGGAUAACCUACCUAUAAGACUGGGAUAACUUCGGGAAACCGUAGCUAAUACCGGAUAAUAUUUUGAACCGCAUGGUUCAAAAGUGAAAGACGGUCUUGCUGUCACUUAUAGAUGGAUCCGCGCUGCAUUAGCUAGUUGGUAAGGUAACGGCUUACCAAGGCAACGAUGCAUAGCCGACCUGAGAGGGUGAUCGGCCACACUGGAACUGAGACACGGUCCAGACUCCUACGGGAGGCAGCAGUAGGGAAUCUUCCGCAAUGGGCGAAAGCCUGACGGAGCAACGCCGCGUGAGUGAUGAAGGUCUUCGGAUCGUAAAACUCUGUUAUUAGGGAAGAACAUAUGUGUAAGUAACUGUGCACAUCUUGACGGGACCUAAUCAGAAGGCCACGGCUAACUACG
Molecule: ribosomal RNA, 495 nt
Filed under: uncultured bacterium
Lineage: Bacteria
Description: partial 16S ribosomal RNA
Rfam family: Bacterial small subunit ribosomal RNA
Source: RNAcentral